AGAGUUUGAUCCUGGCUCAGAUUGAACGCUGGCGGAAUGCUUUACACAUGCAAGUCGAACGGCAGCACGGGGGCAACCCUGGUGGCGAGUGGCGAACGGGUGAGUAAUACAUCGGAACGUGCCCAGUCGUGGGGGAUAACUACGCGAAAGCGUAGCUAAUACCGCAUACGAUCUACGGAUGAAAGCGGGGGAUCGCAAGACCUCGCGCGAUUGGAGCGGCCGAUGGCAGAUUAGGUAGUUGGUGGGGUAAAGGCUCACCAAGCCGACGAUCUGUAGCUGGUCUGAGAGGACGACCAGCCACACUGGGACUGAGACACGGCCCAGACUCCUACGGGAGGCAGCAGUGGGGAAUUUUGGACAAUGGGCGCAAGCCUGAUCCAGCCAUUCCGCGUGCAGGAUGAAGGCCCUCGGGUUGUAAACUGCUUUUGUACGGAACGAAACGGCCUGGGUUAAUACCCUGGGUUAAUGACGGUACCGUAAGAAUAAGCACCGGCUAACUACGUGCCAGCAGCCGCGGUAAUACGUAGGGUGCAAGCGUUAAUCGGAAUUACUGGGCGUAAAGCGUGCGCAGGCGGUAAUGUAAGACAGAUGUGAAAUCCCCGGGCUCAACCUGGGAACUGCAUUUGUGACUGCAUUGCUGGAGUGCGGCAGAGGGGGAUGGAAUUCCGCGUAGCAGUGAAAUGCGUAGAUAUGCGGAGGAACACCGAUGGCGAAGGCAAUCCCCUGGGCCUGCACUGACGCUCAUGCACGAAAGCGUGGGGAGCAAACAGGAUUAGAUACCCUAGUAGUCC
Molecule: ribosomal RNA, 791 nt
Filed under: uncultured bacterium
Lineage: Bacteria
Description: bacterial SSU rRNA
Rfam family: Bacterial small subunit ribosomal RNA
Source: RNAcentral